GUAUAACUCAAGAUAUCAGCAUAAUGCAUGUGGAGAGAGUAGACUGCGGACAAAACAAGGGUCAUGUGAACCAAGAAGACUAGCAAACAUACCAGGCGGUGGAACAGCUGUGACUACAUUGCAAACAGCACAGCAUACAGAAGUUGCUCCAACUGGAUAGAGUAGAAGGUUUCGACAACCAGAACAUACAAGUUGGCUCUGUGCACCUGAUGACCGACAGAAGCUUCUUUUAGAAAUUAGAUCGCUAGUUAUAAAUUACUGAAAAAAGCAGAGCAACUCUUUAUUGCUGCAAGACUGAGGAGAUUCUAUGGACCAUGCCCUGUAGGACACUUGGUGAGACAAAUCUUGUUGGUCACUGGAUUGGGUAACAUUGACCCUUCCUGAAUCAGCUACUUAGGUAAUUGCAGAAUCUCUUCCUUACCCAACUCUCCUAGUAUUUUCUUCCAGUGAAAUACUUGGAUUUUUCUUUAUUGAUCUUUCAAUUUCUCUGCUAAUUGUGUAACUAGACCUGGUUUGGUUGACCAGAAGGUGGAAGAGAAGAAAAGGAAAUUUGGAAUCUUAUAACAGCUAUUCUUUUUCCCAGAUAGUUGUUAGAUCCCAAGGAUUCUUUUGUUCUCUGUUUAUUGGGCUACCAAAUGGAAAGAGAAUUCA
Molecule: long non-coding RNA, 651 nt
Organism: Vitis riparia (riverbank grape)
Lineage: Eukaryota; Viridiplantae; Streptophyta; Magnoliopsida; Vitales; Vitaceae
Exons: 2
Source: RefSeq, a predicted model, not a curated record